GCUUCUCUUAACAUAAACAAAGAGAAUAGUAAUUACUCCUGAAAAGUAAAAUAAAAUGGUUGUUAGUCUAAAGUCAGCUAUUGUUACUGUGUUCUCCCCGUGUCCUUAAGUUUUCAUGAUAAGAACUUUAGAAAAACAUUUGCAUUUGAUUUAUUUGUUUGUAUGUAUGCUUGUGUGUGGAGGACAGAGGACAACUUUCAGGAGUUGGUUCUUUCCUCCUUCCAUCAGUGUCCUAGAGAUAGACCUCAGGUUGUGUGGCUUGGCAAUGUGUGCUAUUACCUGCCAUCGCACUGGCCCUGAGAUGUCUUUUAAGUUCACUACUUCCUACAAUCAACCCCUAGAAACACUGAUGCUGUGGGGAAAGCCCUUGUAACUGAUUGAUUUAGCAAACAACAUUUGAUGAUUUUUAUUGUCAGGGAGCUAGAAGGAUGCUGUCCUUGGAUGGAUAAAGCAAAUGGAGCACGUUCUCUCUCAUCUCUUCUGGGAUUUGGCAUCUGUUCACUAUGUGAGCUUCACUGGGAGCCUGUACUCGUGAGGCAGUCUGUGUGGUCAGGAGGAAAAGUAUAAUCUGGGCAAACAAUUUGGUGUCUCAAUCUUGACUCAGUCUCUCUUGGAGGUGUGAUGAAUGCUAUAUAAGCAAGAUCUAAUGUUCUGCGACUCCAAGUCUAGAAAGGAAAUGGUACAAGCUGAUUUGAGCCCCUCUGACAAGGCCAAUAGGAUGCUCCAGUCUAGAAACCUGGAAGGAUUCAGCCAGGGAGAACACAAUCAAAAGCAGAAAUGGAGAGGAGUUCGUGGGAUCAGCCCAGGUCCAGCAGCUCACAGAACACUGAAGAGUGGCUACUGUCGCAGCAGGGGUUCCCAGGUCUCUUUACAUACCGUUCAAAGUCCAGGACAUUUGAGUAAUGAAAACCUGUGAUUCAGUCACUGAGAGAACCCAGUGAGAGCCAGUGCCAAGGCAGAAGCUGUUUUCUCAGUACUCUGAUUUGUGCUGAGGUCCAACAAUGUCCCCAAGUAUUAGUGUGGAUCAGAGAGACUGCCAUGACAGACUGGGAAACAUAUCCUGUUAACCCUUGGGAGCACCCCUCAGGUGCAGGCUGAAUAGAGAACAUCUCUUGGGCUGUCCAGUGUACCAGCUGUCCAAACAUACAUGGUAAUCAUAGUCUUCCCUGGGCCCAGCAGAUACAGCUUGUCUCUGAGUCAUGUCACAACAGAGGUAACAGGCUGCUGCUGUUCUUUCCAAGAAGCUGCUACAGCAUUUCAUGUGUCCUCAUCUCAGAAACCUUGUCCAAAGGCAUGCUGGGAAAUUAUGUUUCCAGGUGUUUGUGGAACCUGGCACACAUGGCUAGCAGGGCACACCCAGAGUCAGACAGGGUCUGAUUCAUGUUCAUGUAGUCUGACCCAUAGGAAAAACUGGGAUUUCUCUGUGCCAUUGGGAUUCUCAUGUAACUGUUGUUUUUGUCUGUACACAGAGCCUGCUUCUCUCUCCUGUGUUCUCCUCCUUGGCAAAUAUCAUCAUCUAAUAUCUACUCUGGACUGAAAUUUUGUUUACCCAAAUUUCAGAUACUAAAACUAAUCGCUGGAGUGGUGGUAUUAGGAGCGAGAGCCUUUGAGAGGUCACCAGUUCAUAAGGGUGGAGCCCUCAUCAAUGGGACUCCUGGAUAGCAGCAGCUGGUAAAGACCACCCACCCAAGGCCUCAUUCCAGUGACACAGGAUGAGGAGACUGUUGUCUGGUAAAAGCAGCCUGGAAUUCUAAGUAGCACUGCAUAAAGUGUUUUUGUUAGUUUCAUCAAGGACUACAGGUAAGACAGAAACGCCACCUCUGCCCCAAGUCUUUCUUGCUCUAAGGCCUUGUGUGAUGAUUCAUGGAAUUCCUGGCAGCUUAGAGGCUGAGGGUCGAGAGAUAUCAUUUUACAGAGUCUGAAAACAGGUGCAUAGCUGUGGAAUCUCCAGAGAAUACCAAGCUUGGAAGAGGGAGUGAGUGGCUAUGGGAGACAAGAAGGAGCCCUUAUUCUAGGUGUCACAGUGAGCACAAACUCCUGAUGGAAUGCCUUCGUCUCAUAUGUCACAGGCCCACCAACAGGGCUCAGAGAUGAACUGUGGCAGGAGUAUUUUCCUAAGCCUCUGUGGUUUUCAAAGACAGACAUUCCUUUUUUCUCUAAAUGAAAACAAGGUAUUGCACGAGCACCCAAAACAUCUAUGAAUUCAAAACACUGGUUGUGACAUUUUUCAGAUUUGGGCUUCCAAAUAUUUUCUUCUGACUGACAGCCCAUAAAUGCCUACUACUUCGGUGGAGGAUGAUUAAUCACCAUAUUUUGACCAUCACUGGUAUAAAUUCAUUAUUACCUCCUUGCUGCAAUUGGGCCGCUCCUCUAACAGCCUCCCUUCUCCUGCCCUCCACUCCUCAGGAAAAAAUUACCUAUUCUGGUAUUAUUAAUGCAGAAAUAAAGCCAGAACUAUGUGUAAUGGAGGGAAGUCAUCCUUGCCCAGAGGCCCGUCUCCAGGAACAUCAUGAAGUACUACAGAAAGGUCAAAGGUUCUGAAGUUCAAGACCAGCUCCAACUACCAACUACAAGAUCUACAACCAAUCCCUUAACCAUCCUCAGUUCUCUCAUUUGUAAAGAGGGAACCAUUAAAGUAACAUAUCCCUUUAAGAACUGAAUUGUGGGGCCAGUGAGAUGGCUCACCUUAUAAAGGUACCUGAUGACAA
Mesocricetus auratus (golden hamster) is the source of this 2708-nucleotide long non-coding RNA. RefSeq lists it as uncharacterized. Lineage: Eukaryota; Metazoa; Chordata; Mammalia; Rodentia; Cricetidae. The record is from RefSeq and is a predicted model, not a curated record. The transcript is spliced from 2 exons.